GAUGAACGCUAGCUACAGGCUUAACACAUGCAAGUCGCGGGGCAGCAUGGGGGUUGCUUGCAAUCCCCGAUGGCGACCGGCGCACGGGUGAGUAACGCGUAUCCAACCUGCCCUUCACCACGGGAUAACCCGGCGAAAGUCGGACUAAUACCGUAUGUUUUCCAUUGACGGCAUCCGAUUUGGACGAAAGGUUUGGCGGUGAAGGAUGGGGAUGCGUCCGAUUAGCUGGACGGCGGGGUGACGGCCCACCGUGGCGACGAUCGGUAGGGGUUCUGAGAGGAAGGUCCCCCACACUGGAACUGAGACACGGUCCAGACUCCUACGGGAGGCAGCAGUGAGGAAUAUUGAUCAAUGGGCGUAAGCCUGAACCAGCCAAGUAGCGUGCAGGAUGACGGCCCUAUGGGUUGUAAACUGCUUUUAUGCGGGGAUAAAGUGGCCCACGUGUGGGUUUUUGCAGGUACCGCAUGAAUAAGGACCGGCUAAUUCCGUG
Molecule: ribosomal RNA, 490 nt
Filed under: uncultured bacterium
Lineage: Bacteria
Description: partial 16S ribosomal RNA
Rfam family: Bacterial small subunit ribosomal RNA
Source: RNAcentral